GCUCUUAUGGAUUAGUGGUAGAGUGUUAGUCUUGUAAACUAAAGGUUCCAUAGUUCAAUCCUAUGUGGGGGCA
Molecule: non-coding RNA, 73 nt
Organism: Cucurbita maxima (winter squash)
Lineage: Eukaryota; Viridiplantae; Streptophyta; Magnoliopsida; Cucurbitales; Cucurbitaceae
Source: the annotation of a RefSeq genome assembly